GUGCUUUCUUUGUUGGCACAUAUACUAAAAUUGGAACAAUGUAGAGAAAGUUAGCAUGGCCCCUGCUCAAGGAUGACACACAAAUUUGUGAAGUGUCCCAUAUUUUU
This is a small nuclear RNA of Choloepus didactylus (southern two-toed sloth), 107 nucleotides long. Lineage: Eukaryota; Metazoa; Chordata; Mammalia; Pilosa; Megalonychidae. The record is from RefSeq and is a predicted model, not a curated record.